RNAcentral lists this ribosomal RNA (32 nucleotides) under uncultured Pachyphloeus. RNAcentral describes it as "partial 18S ribosomal RNA". The record is from RNAcentral. Lineage: Eukaryota; Fungi; Ascomycota; Pezizomycetes; Pezizales; Pezizaceae.
UUUCCGUAGGUGAANCUGCGGAAGGAUCAUUA